UGCCCUGUUAGCUCAGUUGGUUAGAGCACUGUGCUAAUAACGCAGGGGUCACAGGUUCGAUCGGGGCAAGCUAUUUCGGUAU
This 82-nucleotide transfer RNA is filed under the name Haematococcus lacustris. RNAcentral's name for it is "tRNA-Ile". The stretch from base 2 to 68 matches the Rfam family "tRNA". From Rfam's summary of the family: Transfer RNA (tRNA) molecules are approximately 80 nucleotides in length. Their secondary structure includes four short double-helical elements and three loops (D, anti-codon, and T loops). Lineage: Eukaryota; Viridiplantae; Chlorophyta; Chlorophyceae; Chlamydomonadales; Haematococcaceae. The record is from RNAcentral.